CUAACUAAACGAAAACCGAAACCAUAGUCGUUUUUCGUUUUCAAAAGAUGGUUUUCGGCUAUCACUUCAGGAUGGGCCCGCGGUGCAUUAGCUAGUUGGUAAGGGUAACGGCUUACCAAGGCAAUGAUGCAUAGCCGAGUUGAGAGACUGAUCGGCCACAAUGGAACUGAGACACGGUCCAUACUCCUACGGGAGGCAGCAGUAGGGAAUCUUCCACAAUGGGCGCAAGCCUGAUGGAGCAACACCGCGUGAGUGAAGAAGGGUUUCGGCUCGUAAAGCUCUGUUGUUGGAGAAGAACGUGCGUGAGAGUAACUGUUCACGCAGUGACGGUAUCCAACCAGAAAGUCACGGCUAACUACGUGCC
This 364-nucleotide ribosomal RNA is filed under the name uncultured bacterium. RNAcentral's name for it is "bacterial SSU rRNA". It matches the Rfam family "Bacterial small subunit ribosomal RNA", at positions 159 to 509 of the family's 1533-position model. The record is from RNAcentral.